AAAUUGAAGAGUUUGAUCAUGGCUCAGAUUGAACGCUGGCGGCAGGCCUAACACAUGCAAGUCGAACGGUAACAGGAAACAGCUUGCUGUUUCGCUGACGAGUGGCGGACGGGUGAGUAAUGUCUGGGAAACUGCCUGAUGGAGGGGGAUAACUACUGGAAACGGUAGCUAAUACCGCAUAACGUCGCAAGACCAAAGAGGGGGACCUUCGGGCCUCUUGCCAUCGGAUGUGCCCAGAUGGGAUUAGCUAGUAGGUGGGGUAACGGCUCACCUAGGCGACGAUCCCUAGCUGGUCUGAGAGGAUGACCAGCCACACUGGAACUGAGACACGGUCCAGACUCCUACGGGAGGCAGCAGUGGGGAAUAUUGCACAAUGGGCGCAAGCCUGAUGCAGCCAUGCCGCGUGUAUGAAGAAGGCCUUCGGGUUGUAAAGUACUUUCAGCGGGGAGGAAGGGAGUAAAGUUAAUACCUUUGCUCAUUGACGUUACCCGCAGAAGAAGCACCGGCUAACUCCGUGCCAGCAGCCGCGGUAAUACGGAGGGUGCAAGCGUUAAUCGGAAUUACUGGGCGUAAAGCGCACGCAGGCGGUUUGUUAAGUCAGAUGUGAAAUCCCCGGGCUCAACCUGGGAACUGCAUCUGAUACUGGCAAGCUUGAGUCUCGUAGAGGGGGGUAGAAUUCCAGGUGUAGCGGUGAAAUGCGUAGAGAUCUGGAGGAAUACCGGUGGCGAAGGCGGCCCCCUGGACGAAGACUGACGCUCAGGUGCGAAAGCGUGGGGAGCAAACAGGAUUAGAUACCCUGGUAGUCCACGCUGUAAACGAUGUCGACUUGGAGGUUGUGCCCUUGAGGCGUGGCUUCCGGAGCUAACGCGUUAAGUCGACCGCCUGGGGAGUACGGCCGCAAGGUUAAAACUCAAAUGAAUUGACGGGGGCCCGCACAAGCGGUGGAGCAUGUGGUUUAAUUCGAUGCAACGCGAAGAACCUUACCUGGUCUUGACAUCCACAGAACUUUCCAGAGAUGGAUUGGUGCCUUCGGGAACUGUGAGACAGGUGCUGCAUGGCUGUCGUCAGCUCGUGUUGUGAAAUGUUGGGUUAAGUCCCGCAACGAGCGCAACCCUUAUCCUUUGUUGCCAGCGGUCCGGCCGGGAACUCAAAGGAGACUGCCAGUGAUAAACUGGAGGAAGGUGGGGAUGACGUCAAGUCAUCAUGGCCCUUACGACCAGGGCUACACACGUGCUACAAUGGCGCAUACAAAGAGAAGCGACCUCGCGAGAGCAAGCGGACCUCAUAAAGUGCGUCGUAGUCCGGAUUGGAGUCUGCAACUCGACUCCAUGAAGUCGGAAUCGCUAGUAAUCGUGGAUCAGAAUGCCACGGUGAAUACGUUCCCGGGCCUUGUACACACCGCCCGUCACACCAUGGGAGUGGGUUGCAAAAGAAGUAGGUAGCUUAACCUUCGGGAGGGCGCUUACCACUUUGUGAUUCAUGACUGGGGUGAAGUCGUAACAAGGUAACCGUAGGGGAACCUGCGGUUGGAUCACCUCCUUACCUUAAAGAAGC
Molecule: ribosomal RNA, 1554 nt
Filed under: Escherichia coli
Lineage: Bacteria; Pseudomonadati; Pseudomonadota; Gammaproteobacteria; Enterobacterales; Enterobacteriaceae
Description: bacterial SSU rRNA
Rfam family: Bacterial small subunit ribosomal RNA
Source: RNAcentral